This 242-nucleotide ribosomal RNA is filed under the name uncultured bacterium. Its description in RNAcentral is "partial 16S ribosomal RNA". It matches the Rfam family "Bacterial small subunit ribosomal RNA", at positions 113 to 354 of the family's 1533-position model. The record is from RNAcentral.
CGACGUGAGGGAACCUGCCUUUCAGAGGGGGACAACAGUUGGAAACGACUGCUAAUACCGCAUAAUAUAUUGUUGUCGCAUGGCAAUGAUAUCAAAGAUUUAUCGCUGAAAGAUGGCCUCGCGUCUGAUUAGCUAGUUGGUAGGGUAACGGCCUACCAAGGCGACGAUCAGUAGCCGGACUGAGAGGUUGGCCGGCCACAUUGGGACUGAGAUACGGCCCAGACUCCUACGGAAGGCAGCAG